UGGCGGAGUAGUUUAAUCGGAUUAAAAUGUCGCUCUCAUAAAGCGAAGAUUACAGGUUCAAAUCCUGUCUCCGCAACCA
Molecule: transfer RNA, 79 nt
Filed under: Acidobacteriota bacterium
Lineage: Bacteria; Pseudomonadati; Acidobacteriota
Description: tRNA-Met
Rfam family: tRNA
About the family: Transfer RNA (tRNA) molecules are approximately 80 nucleotides in length.
Source: RNAcentral